This is a long non-coding RNA of Oncorhynchus tshawytscha (Chinook salmon), 619 nucleotides long. The record is from Ensembl. Lineage: Eukaryota; Metazoa; Chordata; Actinopteri; Salmoniformes; Salmonidae.
UGAACAUUUGCUAUCUAACUGAGAGUCUCCUCAUUGAAAACAUCUGAAGUUCUUCAAAGGACUCUCCAUUGCUACGAAAUAGCUCUCCAAACUUUUGUUUCCUGGACAAUGACCAGCCCGUCAUGGGAUCCUCAACGGUUCUCUAACCUCCCAGAGACCACAGCAAAAUCAAGCUUCUCAGGAACUACAGACCUUCCACUGUUUUCUAAUAUAUCAUCCAGCUCUCAAUACCACCCCGUGAUAUUCUAUGAUGGGCUCUGUGAAGGAACAGAGCCGCCAGUCAGCCAGGAUCUGCCAGAGCCGCCAGUCAGCCAGAAUCUGCCAGAGCCGCCAUUCAACCAGGAUCCGCCAGAGCCGCCAUUCAGCCAGGAUCCGCCAGAGCCGCCAGUCAGCCAGGAUCCGCCAGAGCCGCCAGUCAGCCAGGAUCCGCCAGAGCCGCCAGUCAGCCAGGAUCCGCCAGAGCCGCCAGUCAGCCAGGAGCUGCCAGAGCCGUCAGUCAGCCAGGAGCUGCCAGAGCCAUCAGUCACCCAGAAGCUGCCAGAGCCGUCAACCAGCCUGAGCUACCUCUCAGUCCUGAGCUACCUCUCAGUCCUGAGCUACCUCUCAGUCCUGAGCUACC